Molecule: ribosomal RNA, 1538 nt
Filed under: metagenome
Description: bacterial LSU rRNA
Rfam family: Bacterial large subunit ribosomal RNA
Source: RNAcentral
UUAGCGCGAAUGCAGUGAGAAUCUGCAUGGCCGAAAGCCUCAGGUUUUUGGAGGAAGGUUCGUCCGCUCCAAGUUAGUCGGGAGCUAAGGUGAGGCCGAAAGGCGUAGCCGAUGCACAGACGGUAGAGAUUCCGUCACCACCAAAAGAGUUAAGCACAGGGACACAUAAGAAGUCUCAGAGCCGGGUGUUGGUUCCGGUAGAGAUCGAGGGAAAAUAGUACCGAAGUCUGGGAUGGAAGAUGGCGAGAAAAGCUGUGUGGAUUUCUGAGGUGCCCGUACCGCAAACCGACACAGGUAGGUAGGAAGAAGAUUCUAAGGCCAACGGGAGAAGGGUUGUUAAGGAACUCGGCAAAUUGACCCCGUAACUUCGGGAGAAGGGGUGCUCCAGAGAUGGAGCCGCAGAGAAUCGGCCCAAGCAACUGUUUACCAAAAACACAGGUUUGUGCUAAAUCGAAAGAUGACGUAUACGAGCUGACGCCUGCCCGGUGCUGGAAGGUUAAGAGGAGAUGUGCAAGCAUUGAAUCGAAGCCCCAGUGAACGGCGGCCGUAACUAUAACGGUCCUAAGGUAGCGAAAUUCCUUGUCAGGUAAGUUCUGACCCGCAUGAAAGGCGUAAUGAUUUGGGCACUGUCUCAACAGCCCGCCCGGCGAAAUUGUAGUACCGGUGAAGAUGCCGGUUGCCCGCGACAAGACGGAAAGACCCCAUGGAGCUUUACUGUAGCCUAAUAUUGGGUUUCGAUGUUGCAUGCACAGGAUAGAUGGGACUCUGGGAAGUGAUCGCUUUGGCGGUCAUGGAGAGGACGUUGGGAUACCAUCCUUGCGAUAUUGGAAUUCUAACCUGCGGCUCUGAAUCGAGUCGGGGGACAUUGUUAGGUGGGCAGUUUGACUGGGGCGGUCGCCUCCUAAAGAGUAACGGAGGCGUUCAAAGGUUCGCUCAGCUUGAACGGAAAUCAAGCAAAAGAGUGCAAACGCAGAAGCGAGCCUAACUGCGAGACUGACGGGUCGAGCAGUAACGAAAGUUGGAGUUAGUGAUCCGGUGGUAUGUGAGUGGAAAUGCCAUCGCUCAACGGAUAAAAGUUACCCUGGGGAUAACAGGCUGAUCUCCCCCAAGAGUCCACAUCGACGGGGAGGUUUGGCACCUCGAUGUCGGCUCAUCGCAUCCUGGGGCUGUAUUCGGUCCCAAGGGUUUGGCUGUUCGCCAAUUAAAGCGGUACGCGAGCUGGGUUCAGAACGUCGUGAGACAGUUCGGUCCCUAUCUGUCGUGGGCGCAGGAUAUUUGAUGGGAGCUGUCCCUAGUACGAGAGGACCGGGACGGACGUACCUCUGGCGCACCAGUUGUUCCGCCAGGAGCAUAGCUGGGCAACUACGUACGGAUCGGAUAAACGCUGAAAGCAUCUAAGCGUGAAGCCGACCCAAAGAUAAGAUAUCCCACUGAUUCAAUCAGGUAAGAUCCCUUGAAGACUACAAGGUUGAUAGGCACGAUGUGUAAGUGGAGCGAUCCAUUCAGCAAGUGUGUACUAAUAGAUCGAGGGCUUGACU